UCUCUCUCUCUCUCUCUAUCUGUGUUGAGAGAAGAACUCCAGCAAAAUUUAAAACAGCUUCCCUCCACCCGCAAAGGAAGGCAGAGCAGCGUAAAUGGAUAAACCCCAGAACUUCUAUUGCAUCCAGGUGCAAUGCUGCAUUACUGUGCAAACAAACCAUCAUGGAUCCUUUGCUGAAGUCACAAACUUAUUGUAGGAUUCACACACAAAAUUGUUAUAAAUAGUUAUAUUUCCACAAAUAAUAGGAAGCAAAAAUAAAAUAUAUGAUCAACUAUCCAUGAACAAGUUCAACAUAUUUAAAGUAAUGAAUCUAACCACAACUGCAAGCGAACAGUUCGAUCUUCAAGGUACAUGGUUUUUGAUAGAAAAUCAAUGCCAAUUGUAGCCUGACAUCAAUUGAAAAUAGAAAUAAGUCAGAUAACAGCAGAAAAUAGAUAUCUUAGCAAUCACCAAAAGAUUUAUAUCUCUUUGAAAACUAAAAAUGAUAUCUAGCCAUGUCAAAAAAAUAAAUAUAUGAAUUCAAGGAGAAGUGGUAAAGGAAAAGGAGCAAGAAGAAUGAGAAAGAGCAUUCGUCAACAAGGAAAGAGAGCAUAUGUCAACCAGGAAUGACUUUUUGCUUUAUUUUCUUUCU
This 631-nucleotide unclassified non-coding RNA is filed under the name Hevea brasiliensis (rubber tree). The record is from RNAcentral. Lineage: Eukaryota; Viridiplantae; Streptophyta; Magnoliopsida; Malpighiales; Euphorbiaceae.